Non-coding RNA from Cherax quadricarinatus, 679 nucleotides. The record is from RefSeq and is a predicted model, not a curated record. NCBI's taxonomy places the organism in Eukaryota, Metazoa, Arthropoda, Malacostraca, Decapoda, Parastacidae.
AACACAAACACCUAACUCUCGACACUGAGUGUAAGUCUCUGCUGGCUUGGGUCUCUGCUGAAUAAUUGAGGCUAACACAAUUAAUCCAUUUGUAAAUUGUUUUAGGACAUCGAGACAGGACUCAAAACGGCGUAAUAUCGUCUCUGAACUGGACAAGGAUUUUUUUCUCUGGACAUCGCGAGGCAGGACUCAAUACGGCGUUAGUUGUCAGUGACCCUGGUAAUCCUCCCAAAACAAUAUAAUACGGCGUAUGUUGUGGUGGCCCUGUAAACCCCAAGAACAACAGGAAAUUUUGCCAUCCAGGUUGCCUCCAGCAGUACAGAACAACUCAGGUUUCAAUUGGAUUAAAAACCUCACAACGAUGAAACUACCUUUUGUUGGUGGUGUAGUUGCUGGAUGUCUGUCCACGAUGGGAUGGAUCACUUUUUCAAAGCUGAGCUACAGCAGUUCUGAGACCUCUACCAAGAUGAUCCACAUUUUGCCGACUUGUCAAAAGCACCGAUUAAAAUUCGUUCUUCUGAAGGGUUUAGUCAUUAUCCAGAGGAGAACACUAGAGUUGAACAAAUCCUAAGAUUCGGUUGGCCCAUUGGUGGACGCAUUAAGAGGAAACUUAAGAAUCAUGUACUUGAGUAUGACUGCACUAACAAAAUACCUGUGUGGGUAGCAGAACACCUCACUC